UACAGAGGUCUCAAGCGUUGUUCGGAUUCAUUGGGCGUAAAGGGCGCGUAGGCGGCGCGGUAAGUCGGAUGUGAAAUCUCGGAGCUUAACUUCGAAACUGCAUUCGAUACUGCCGUGCUUGAGGACUGGAGAGGAGACUGGAAUUUACGGUGUAGCGGUGAAAUGCGUAGAUAUCGUAAGGAAGACCAGUGGCGAAGGCGGGUCUCUGGACAGUUCCUGACGCUGAGGCACGAAGGUCAGGGGAGCAAACGGG
RNAcentral lists this ribosomal RNA (253 nucleotides) under uncultured bacterium. RNAcentral describes it as "partial 16S ribosomal RNA". It matches the Rfam family "Bacterial small subunit ribosomal RNA", at positions 524 to 776 of the family's 1533-position model. The record is from RNAcentral.